This 219-nucleotide long non-coding RNA is filed under the name Mytilus galloprovincialis (Mediterranean mussel). The record is from RNAcentral. Lineage: Eukaryota; Metazoa; Mollusca; Bivalvia; Mytilida; Mytilidae.
GUUUCGAAUUGAGCGAAAGGAAAAUCAUUCAAACCCAACAUCUUCGUAUGUUUCCAUCAAAAGAGUGAUUGCCAGCUCAAAUGUCUAUGUAUGUUCCAUUUGUAUCUGCUUGGCAUUGCAAACCCUCACAUGUCCUCUCUUGCCGUUUCACACAUUCCUUCCAGUCUAAUCGCCCAUAAUGUUUUUCUGAUAUCUAGCCCCAGGGUUUUCGAACAAUAC